This is a non-coding RNA of Triticum aestivum (bread wheat), 119 nucleotides long. The record is from Rfam. Lineage: Eukaryota; Viridiplantae; Streptophyta; Magnoliopsida; Poales; Poaceae.
AUGAUGGCAUUCAAAGGACAACAUGUCUACCUAAUACAAUAUUCUUAAAGUUAAAAUUUCAUUUCCUGCUUGUGGCAUCGUUAGGAAGUUCUACAAGUCUCAAAUGAGAAAACAUCCAU